RNAcentral lists this ribosomal RNA (497 nucleotides) under uncultured bacterium. Its description in RNAcentral is "partial 16S ribosomal RNA". It matches the Rfam family "Bacterial small subunit ribosomal RNA", at positions 28 to 507 of the family's 1533-position model. The record is from RNAcentral.
GAUGAACGCUGGCGGCGUGCCUAAUACAUGCAAGUCGAGCGAACAGACGAGGAGCUUGCUCCUCUGACGUUAGCGGCGGACGGGUGAGUAACACGUAGGUAACCUACCUAUAAGACUGGGAUAACUUCGGGAAACCGGAGCUAAUACCGGAUAAUAUUUCGAACCGCAUGGUUCGAUAGUGAAAGAUGGCUUUGCUAUCACUUAUAGAUGGAUCUGCGCCGUAUUAGCUAGUUGGUAAGGUAACGGCUUACCAAGGCAACGAUACGUAGCCGACCUGAGAGGGUGAUCGGCCACACUGGAACUGAGACACGGUCCAGACUCCUACGGGAGGCAGCAGUAGGGAAUCUUCCGCAAUGGGCGAAAGCCUGACGGAGCAACGCCGCGUGAGUGAUGAAGGUCUUCGGAUCGUAAAACUCUGUUAUUAGGGAAGAACAAACGUGUAAGUAACUAUGCACGUCUUGACGGUACCUAAUCAGAAAGCCACGGCUAACUACGUG